CUUCACCGAACCCAGCCACAACGGCAUACCCUCGGCACGGUCCUGCCCGUAGGUCGCCAACAGAGCCUGCGCCUC
This is a non-coding RNA of Saccharomonospora xinjiangensis XJ-54, 75 nucleotides long. NCBI's taxonomy places the organism in Bacteria, Bacillati, Actinomycetota, Actinomycetes, Pseudonocardiales, Pseudonocardiaceae. The record is from Rfam.